Molecule: long non-coding RNA, 398 nt
Filed under: Ananas comosus (pineapple)
Lineage: Eukaryota; Viridiplantae; Streptophyta; Magnoliopsida; Poales; Bromeliaceae
Description: long non-coding RNA (ACOM_LNC000614)
Source: RNAcentral
CUGUGGGCGGUGCAUGUGUGUGUGUGGUGACCUCUGGACUGAUUGUCCAUGAUCCGAUAGCCUUCGCGGAAAUUGAGAAGUUGAUUUCGGUGCGUUUUUCAGCGAAAUUCGCCGAAAUAACGCGGUUUCAGUUCGGAUUUCUUCCGACGUGGUUUGUUUAUCCUGUGAAUUGUCGCUGGGCCUUGUUGGCUGGUCACCAUCAUCAUUUGUGGAUUCGGUGAUGAUGGGUGAGCGACGUCGGUGGGUACCGGUGUCGAAAUAGACAUUUUCGGGAACCCGUAUUCGUACAAUUAUCCGGCGAUAAUUGUGUUGUCACGCCCCGGAACCGAUACCAAUUUGGCCCGACCCGAGCACGUCAAACAGACGCCGAACGGACAGAGUUUUCCCUAUCCGCCCAA